This 253-nucleotide ribosomal RNA is filed under the name uncultured bacterium. RNAcentral describes it as "partial 16S ribosomal RNA". It matches the Rfam family "Bacterial small subunit ribosomal RNA", at positions 524 to 776 of the family's 1533-position model. The record is from RNAcentral.
UACGAAGGGGGCUAGCGUUGUUCGGAAUUACUGGGCGUAAAGCGCGCGUAGGCGGUGAUCUUUGUCAGAGGUGAAAGCCUGGGGCUCAACUCCAGAAUUGCCUUUGAAACGGGAUCGCUUGAGUCCGAGAGAGGAUGGCGGAAUUCCUAGUGUAGAGGUGAAAUUCGUAGAUAUUAGGAAGAACACCGGUGGCGAAGGCAGCUCGCUGGGACGUGACUGACGCUGAGACGCGAAAGCGUGGGGAGCAAACAGG